GGGGUAGUGGCUCACCAAGCGACGACGGGUAGCCGGCCUGAGAGGUGACCGGCCCACUGGGACUGAGACACGGCCCAGACUCCUACGGGAGGCAGCAGUGGGGAAUAUUGCACAAUGGGCGCAAGCCUGAUGCAGCGACGCCGCGUGAGGGAUGACGGCCUUCGGGUUGUAAACCUCUUUCAGCAGGGAAGAAGCGCAAGUGACGGUACCUGCAGAAGAAGCGCCGGCUAACUACGUGCCAGCAGCCGCGGUAAUACGUAGGGCGCGAGCGUUGUCCGGAAUUAUUGGGCGUAAAGAGCUCGUAGGCGGCUUGUCGCGUCGACUGUGAAAACCCGUGGCUCAACUGCGGGCUUGCAGUCGAUACGGGCAGGCUAGAGUUCGGUAGGGGAGACUGGAAUUCCUGGUGUAGCGGUGAAAUGCGCAGAUAUCAGGAGGAGCACCGGUGGCGAAGGCGGGUCUCUGGGCCGAUACUGACGCUGAGGAGCGAAAGCGUGGGGAGCGAACAGGAUUAGAUACCCUGGUAGUCCACGCCGUAAACGGUGGGCACUAG
Molecule: ribosomal RNA, 550 nt
Filed under: uncultured Actinomycetes bacterium
Lineage: Bacteria; Bacillati; Actinomycetota; Actinomycetes
Description: bacterial SSU rRNA
Rfam family: Bacterial small subunit ribosomal RNA
Source: RNAcentral